This 917-nucleotide long non-coding RNA is filed under the name Pan troglodytes (chimpanzee). RNAcentral describes it as "lincRNA". The record is from RNAcentral. Lineage: Eukaryota; Metazoa; Chordata; Mammalia; Primates; Hominidae.
UUGACAGUUUGGCUUCCCUGUUCUGGGUGGCAAAGCCUGUGGAGUACUCACCUACCUGCUGCAUGAAGGCAGCAUGGAGGGACUGUGGUGGAUUAUCUGCAAAGAUGGCCAAAAUUCUCUCAUCCCUGCAGGCACAUACAAGAGAAGAACUGAAGCUCAGCUAUUCACCCUACAGAAAGCCUGAAUUUUGUAAAAGUUCUGCUUAGAAUGAGGAAGAAAGAUGAAGAAUGAGGAGGAAGAAGGGAGGAACAAGAGAGAGAGGUUGUUGCAUGGCAUAAGUAAAAUGACAGCCAAAGGAUACAUGCAACUUUUCAGGGACAAAGAUCUGUGCAGCAUCGACAGUACUGCCUAAUGAGGUUUCACCAUAAUGAAGUAUUACAACCAGUUUACAGACCAGAAAACUGAGACACAGGAAGGGGUGGUGACUUGAGCAAGGUGCAUCAGCUGCCAGGUUUCCAGAAGUUCCCCAGUCAUUGAGCAUUUCUGAGGCUCUUGAUGCAUAUGCCAAGUAGUUAUGGAGAAAGACACAGCAGCUUACCUCUGCAGGCAUCAUUGUGUGAAAGGAAGACCCAGGCUCUCUCACCACCCUUCAACAGAAGCCUUUUGCUAAGGUGAUAGCUACAUGUCCAAGCCUAUUGCGUGGCAUGCAUUUUGCCUUCUGCAGCCCACUAAAGGUGAGCAGUAAAUGUGUUUGCUAUUUCCCCAAAAGGAAAUUGAGGUAUACGGAAUGCUUAUUUGGUUUACUCAGUAUCAUCCUAAAUGUAUGUACCAAUGCUUAGGAGUUUGCAGUUCACCCGCAAACCUCAGCGAUCCAAGCUCCCCUGGAUGACCAUCACUCACCAAGAAAAGAACAAUAACAGGACCUGUUUUGCUAAUCCAGGACUGUUCUCCAGCACUAACUCUAAAUAAUCCCUUCU